RNAcentral lists this transfer RNA (73 nucleotides) under Ixodes scapularis (black-legged tick). It matches the Rfam family "tRNA". Rfam says of the family: Transfer RNA (tRNA) molecules are approximately 80 nucleotides in length. Their secondary structure includes four short double-helical elements and three loops (D, anti-codon, and T loops). The record is from Rfam by way of RNAcentral. Lineage: Eukaryota; Metazoa; Arthropoda; Arachnida; Ixodida; Ixodidae.
CCCUGGUUGGCCCAGUUGGUAGAGCGCUCCACCUGUAAUGGAGAGGUCCCAGGUUCGAUACCCGGACCAGGCG